RNAcentral lists this ribosomal RNA (253 nucleotides) under uncultured prokaryote. Its description in RNAcentral is "partial 16S ribosomal RNA". It matches the Rfam family "Bacterial small subunit ribosomal RNA", at positions 524 to 776 of the family's 1533-position model. The record is from RNAcentral.
UACGUAGGGUGCGAGCGUUAAUCGGAAUUACUGGGCGUAAAGCGUGCGUAGGCGGUUUGGUAAGGCGGGUGUGAAAUCCCCGGGCUUAACCUGGGAAUUGCGUUUGUGACUGUCUGGCUAGAGUACGGCAGAGGGGGGUGGAAUUCCGCGUGUAGCAGUGAAAUGCGUAGAGAUGCGGAGGAACACCAAUGGCGAAGGCAGCCCCCUGGGUCGAUACUGACGCUCAUGCACGAAAGCGUGGGUAGCAAACAGG